CAGUCUCUUUUAAGAACGAGGUAACGCAUGCCUUUUCCUGAUUUAGCAUCUAGGACCGCAGUGCAUUAUAAAAUUACGAACGAGAGAGAUUUCAAAGACUAGCGAAAUUUGCCAAUUUAAAUGUCCUGUGUCAGAGCAUUUUAAUCAUUACCAUCUAAAAAAAUAUCAUCCAGAAUAUGAAGAGCUUGGACAUAAUUUGUCAAUGUGCCGUAGCCUACAGCUGUCUAGCUAAAUUGCUAGGUAGCGAACCUAUUAGAUAUAAAAAGUUUAGCAAUCUGAGAAUUCCUACAGAAUCUCUGGUAGGCUACCUGAACAUGCAUCUGGGCUUUUCCCGUGGCUUUGAAAUCGAGAUUCUAUUCUGGGUUGAACAUAAGGUGUUGGCCAAUACAGUUCAGAGAUGUAGGCCUACCUGUUGAUUUAUAUAGGCCAUUUUUGUUUGUUUGCCUUUCCGGUGUGGGAAGGAGAAGCGCGUGUGCCAUUUACGGUCUGUUAGCUAAUGAACACACGGAGUUUGUGAAAACAACGUGAACGGCCACCGAAAACGACCUGUUCAUCUCGAUGGGCCCCAUCCCCGCUAACUCUCCAGGAGAGAGCGAAUAGCGGUAAGCGGAAUAGCGGAUGGCGGCGGUCUCUCGGCGCGGACUCCUGAAAGGCGCUGUUUGUUCUACGCGCGAUAAAAUGUCUCCCCGCGGCACGUCGCUUUAGCCCAUAAGAUAACGCCAAUAUUUAUUUCCUCCUCUCCUCUGCGGUCCCGCCUGCACCUGACAUUUUCGUCGGGCCGGCUGUACCCAGCGAUGAAAACGCGGGGAUAAAACCCAGAGACAACGCGGGCAGCGGAAGAUGAAGGCUGACUGCGUUUUUAAACAGAUACCGCUGCGCGUCAGUCUUACUUCACUUUGUGUUAAAAGAAGUACACUGACGGAAGAUAAGAGCUAAACGUGUGUGUGUGUAAAGAUGAGGCCGAAAUGUUUCUAAAGAUAUCGCGCUUCCAUCUGUGAAAACUCCAUCUUUUAUCCCCAAUGGUUGCAUGAAACAAUGCUGAACGAUGAUCUUUAAAGAAUGCUGUCAUUUGUUUUAUCGGCACACCUGUGCUUUUAACUUGCAUCACUAAGAGAGAAGUUCAUUUCCAUUUAAAAUAUAGUGUGCUGAAACGAACACUGCGAAGGCAGUGCUUUUGGUGUGUGACAUUG
Long non-coding RNA from Anguilla rostrata (American eel), 1190 nucleotides. RefSeq lists it as uncharacterized. The record is from RefSeq and is a predicted model, not a curated record. NCBI's taxonomy places the organism in Eukaryota, Metazoa, Chordata, Actinopteri, Anguilliformes, Anguillidae. The transcript has 2 exons.